GAGGCCCUGGCCGAGGCCUACCGCGCCGAGCUGGAGGCGCUGGUCGAGCAUUGCCUGGCCGAAGGCAACGGCGGUUUCACCCCGUCCGACUUCCCC
RNAcentral lists this transfer RNA (96 nucleotides) under compost metagenome. Its description in RNAcentral is "tRNA-Leu". The record is from RNAcentral.